AAAAAGUAAAUUCAGAUUUUACAUUGUGUGUGAUAAUAGGGUCAAAAAGUUUUAUGAGUGUAGAAGGUGAGGACAGCUAAAGUAGAAAUAAUAAUCUAAAUUUUAAUGUUGAAAUUAUCAUUACUGAACUAGAUAUUUAUUCUCUAGGCCUGAAGAAGAAGUUCAGUGGGAAAAACUUACCAAAGAUUAAAGAAAAUGUUGAAUAUACUGAAGAGAGCUCUUCAUGCAACCAAAGCAAUCAAGUGACUGGCAGCGAAACAACAGACUUUAAGAGAAAAGAAGAGGAGCCAGAAGAAAGCAGUGUACCACUGAAGGAUUCCAAAAUAAUCAACUUUGAAAAUAAAGGAAGUUUGAAAAAUGCUGAAGUGACUUCAAGUACAGAAAUUACUCUUCCCACAGGUGUUUCCACCUUCCUCAUAGAGUGUUUAGAUGAAGAUUCAGCUGCAGAUUAUAGCACUGCUGGCAACAGCCUGCAAACUUACUCAUCCCCUGAAACAUUCAGAGAUGAUGAUUUGGAAAGAUGCAAUUUUUACUCUAUGGACCUUGGCAAGUACAAGAACUCUACUCUCCUGGACUCCAGCAAAGCAAUGGCCAUUGAUAAGAUACCACAGAUGUCAAAUCUUUCAGCAAUAUUAGAACCUGUACCAGAGGAUUUUCCAAACCAACGCACAAAAAGAAAGAGACCAUCAAGUUCUUCAGCAUUAAGCGUUUCAGCUACUCUGGCAGGUAAAAUAUGA
RNAcentral lists this long non-coding RNA (737 nucleotides) under Junco hyemalis (dark-eyed junco). RNAcentral describes it as "lncRNA (ENSJHYG00000013415.1)". The record is from RNAcentral. Lineage: Eukaryota; Metazoa; Chordata; Aves; Passeriformes; Passerellidae.